CGGAGGAUCCGAGCGUUAUCCGGAUUUAUUGGGUUUAAAGGGUGCGUAGGCGGAAAUGUAAGUCAGUGGUGAAAUCCUGCAGCUUAACUGUAGAAUAGCCGUUGAAACUGUGUUUCUUGAGUACAUUUGAGGUAGGCGGAAUGUGGUGUGUAGCGGUGAAAUGCAUAGAUAUACCACAGAACACCGAUUGCGAAGGCAGCUUACUAAACUGUCACUGACGCUGAUGCACGAAAGCGUGGGUAUCAAACAGGAUUAGA
This 257-nucleotide ribosomal RNA is filed under the name uncultured prokaryote. RNAcentral describes it as "partial 16S ribosomal RNA". It matches the Rfam family "Bacterial small subunit ribosomal RNA", at positions 526 to 782 of the family's 1533-position model. The record is from RNAcentral.